RNAcentral lists this non-coding RNA (26 nucleotides) under Homo sapiens (human). The record is from RNAcentral. Lineage: Eukaryota; Metazoa; Chordata; Mammalia; Primates; Hominidae.
UGGCCUUGGGCAGGUAAAGAACCACA